UGCCCGCGGCGGCUAAAUAUUCGGCCCUA
This 29-nucleotide small RNA is filed under the name Bombyx mori (domestic silkworm). Its description in RNAcentral is "ovarian small RNA-33743". The record is from RNAcentral. Lineage: Eukaryota; Metazoa; Arthropoda; Insecta; Lepidoptera; Bombycidae.